RNAcentral lists this ribosomal RNA (254 nucleotides) under uncultured bacterium. Its description in RNAcentral is "partial 16S ribosomal RNA". It matches the Rfam family "Bacterial small subunit ribosomal RNA", at positions 524 to 776 of the family's 1533-position model. The record is from RNAcentral.
UACGUAGGGCGCAAGCGUUAUCCGGAAUUAUUGGGCGUAAAGAGCUCGUAGGCGGUUCGAUAAGUCGGGUGUGAAACCUCCAGGCUCAACCUGGAGACGCCACCCGAUACUGUCGUGACUAGAGUCCAGUAGGGGAGCGUGGAAUUCCUGGUGUAGCGGUGAAAUGCGCAGAUAUCAGGAAGAACACCCGUGGCUAAGGCGGCUCUCUAGUACGGUACUGACGCUGAGACGCGAAAGCGUGGGGAGCGAACAGG